Molecule: unclassified non-coding RNA, 204 nt
Filed under: Hevea brasiliensis (rubber tree)
Lineage: Eukaryota; Viridiplantae; Streptophyta; Magnoliopsida; Malpighiales; Euphorbiaceae
Source: RNAcentral
AGGUCAAAAUUCUUAAACGCGGCGAACAAUUAGCUUUAUUGGCCUCAGUCAGUCGGAUCUGAGUCGGAACUAGCUCAGGAUCAGGUCCAAGCCGAUGAGUAGAUUGGAGAUCUAGCUCUUCAAUUUUCUCAACUUUAGCAGGUUGAGAAACCUUCUCUGACGUAGGUUUAGCUAGUUGUUCGCCGCGUUUAAGAAUUUUGACCU